This 72-nucleotide transfer RNA is filed under the name Chelonia mydas (Green sea turtle). It matches the Rfam family "tRNA". Rfam says of the family: Transfer RNA (tRNA) molecules are approximately 80 nucleotides in length. Their secondary structure includes four short double-helical elements and three loops (D, anti-codon, and T loops). Further hydrogen bonds mediate the characteristic L-shaped molecular structure. tRNAs have two regions of fundamental functional importance: the anti-codon, which is responsible for specific mRNA codon recognition, and the 3' end, to which the tRNAs corresponding amino acid is attached (by aminoacyl-tRNA synthetases). tRNAs cope with the degeneracy of the genetic code in two manners: having more than one tRNA (with a specific anti-codon) for a particular amino acid; and 'wobble' base-pairing, i.e. permitting non-standard base-pairing at the 3rd anti-codon position. Lineage: Eukaryota; Metazoa; Chordata; Testudines; Cheloniidae. The record is from Rfam by way of RNAcentral.
GGCUGUGUGGCCUAGUGGAUAGAGCACUGGACUGGGACUCAGGACACCUGGGUUCUCUUCCCAGCUCAGCCA